RNAcentral lists this non-coding RNA (21 nucleotides) under Arabidopsis thaliana (thale cress). Lineage: Eukaryota; Viridiplantae; Streptophyta; Magnoliopsida; Brassicales; Brassicaceae. The record is from RNAcentral.
UGCGGAACAUUCUGAGGGUAC